Molecule: long non-coding RNA, 2405 nt
Organism: Esox lucius (northern pike)
Lineage: Eukaryota; Metazoa; Chordata; Actinopteri; Esociformes; Esocidae
Source: Ensembl
GCAGAAUCGGCUGUAGUGUGUGGUUUGAAUUUCGUCAGCAUUAUGGCCGUCAUUAUAACGUUGUGUUGUUUUUGGCAGCCAGACCGCACGCAUCCGUCAUAAAAUGACAUGCAUUUAUUGGUGAGUGAAGUUAAUGUUUUAUUUACUUAACAGGUAUUUUGGCUAGCUAUUGCUGUAGCUGGUACUAGUCUGUACAUAUUUUACAUAGGCUAGUCUAACCAUAGCUCACUGACUUAUAUGCUACUCUUCGUGUGAUAAUCAGGAGGACACUAGUUAUUUUAACGUCCCUAUUGAACGAUUGAAUUAUACGUAAUUUGAGUUAAAUGUGUAGCGUACAAAAUAUUAAAACUUGGUCGAGCUCCGUUAACGUUAGUGCGCUCGUUUGUCGCCGGGUAAGGGCCCAGAACCACGUGGGUUUAUACUUUGGUGACCUAGUAACUGAGUAGUUGCAUACAACUACACGUAAUACCACUAUAACCAUUGCUGGUCUUUCAAUGAUGAUAACUUUGUCCAGUUCUGCUACUGAAUAAUAGUGAACGAUAUUUGUGACUCUGAGAAAGACCUUGGUUUUACCACGAUAAUAUAGUCUGUUAAAUUAGCCUACCGUGGCGCUGGCGUACACUAACUAGUACGCUAGAUACACUAACUAGUUGGCUUGGAUGUUUCCUUUGAACCAAUCAUUGAUUGAAUGCGCGAAAUAUGGUGACCAAAUCGAAGCAUGGCAGAGUUUAAACGCCAAUGUUAAGAGAGAACCUUAAUCUCAAAAGUAGUUUUCUCCCUCUGAAUGCGAAUUUGGCGUGUUUAAAUCUUUUGCAUCCUGUUUGGUGUAGUCUUGUUUCUUAUUCUGUUGCUUCUGUGCUUAAACCAGCCCUUUUGUCUAACUAGUGUUUUGUUCCAGGUAUUUUGAUGGUGUCAUGAAGCUGGCUUUUCUUCUGAAUACUGGUCGGCCAGAGGAUGCUACUGAACUUUGUACUGCGUUGAGGGCAUGUCACAUCAAGUGGUGUCUGGGCUAGGUGAGUGUGGCAGUGUUAAUUGGCUGUCAGUGGUUAAACUGAGUUGUGAGAAAUGGUUAUAAAAGCAUGUUGUAAUUGAGCCCACCAGUCCAUGGACCAGAGUUAGUGAUGAGACAAAACUAAAUAACUUUUCUGACACCUCAUAUGAGGGCUGGCAACAGCCCCUGAUUCUAACUCUACUCUGAAGCUCUGAAUGGGACUGUUAUGUCUUAUUUUCUGGGAGGUUUGUGUGCUGUCAAUUGGUUCAAAUUGCAGUUUAUUCAAGAAAUUAGGCAUUGUGUAAUUUGCCUGCCAUGCCAAGGCCUGUACUUGUCACAAACACUUUUUUUUUUUUUUUAAUACUAGAAACUAGUUGGUGCGAUUGCCUUGGCAACAAAGCACAUGGGAUGUUUCUUUGGGCAGUAUUUGCCAGGUGCUCUGUGUUAAAUCUGUUCUCUUCUGCCAGGUUCUCAUGUGACCUGAGCCUACCACAGGACUCCUCCCACUCACUGCCCUCAGGUUUGUUGAGGAUUUCAGUGAAGAGAAGAUGAAGUCUCUGAGACUGAUUCACCCAGAGUGGUGACUUCAUCAGGCUGCAUGUCCAUGACCAGACUGGUUGAUGGUUGCAGGGAGAUGGCCUCACCGUUAGCACUGCAGAUUCUUGCCUGCUCCCUAAACAUCAGGUGUCCAGUGUCGUACUUUUCCUUACAUUCUAUUCAACACGAAAGGACUUCACUUAAUUGACAUCAGCUGUAUGGUUUCUCCAGUGUGAAUCAUCUGAUAAAAAGAUUUUCCAUCGAGUGGUUCCUUUUUAAUUUGCUGUUGUAACUUUUACCACUUAUAGUUCUCAUCCCCAAUGCCACUCAUUUAAGCUGGUUCCAUUAAACAUGGCCAUUACUUAAAUUAUAUCCAGAGGUCCCCAGGUCUCAAUUCCAAUUGAGCUCAUUUAGAUUGUGGAGGAACGGGAGGUCUGCAACAAAUGUGUAAAUCUUCAAGAAACUGUGAUUCAUUGUGUUAGCUUGGGCUAAAAUCUAUACACGUUUCCACCUUGUUACUCCUGUUCAUUCAGGUCUAAACUGGUGGAUUUUUAUGCAGGCAUGUUCAGAUUUUUACUUAAUUCCAUUUCGAUUUGUCCAAUUUCCCACUAACCUUCCCUGACAGUGCAGCUGGUGGCAGCAGUAAGGCCUCUCUCCUGUGUGAACUCUCUGAUUUAUGGUUAUGCUUUUAGUUCUGGUAUCAUGCACAGCCUUAAUGUGUCACGGUUGUAUUCUCAUCACCUCUCCCUGGCAACAGGGACCUAAUGGUUCUACUUCACUUGUGAUUUUGAAAGUUCAAUAAAGUUGAGUCAAUUUUCUCAUUUGAUCUUAUUCUGUAAUGAAAUACUAAACGUGUGAAUUAAAAUCUUCCAAUGUC